AUGGCGGGGUUGGCAGGCCAGCUCACCAGGCACUGGUGCUCUGGGCUUCUCCGCAGUGUUCCCCCGCAGGUCCCAGCCCUUGGGCUGCACGUGGGCAGCCCUGCCAUGUGAACCAGCCAGAAGGACUUUAACAACACAGUGAACCAGGUGAAGCUCCUGAAGGAGGAUCCGGUCAAUGAAGUGAAGCUGAAACUCUAUGCACUCUACAAGCAGGCCACUGAAGGACCUUGUAACGUGCACAAACCAGGUAUGCUGGACUUUAUCUAUAAGACCAAAUGGGAUGCAUGGAAUGCUCUUGGAAGUCUGUCCAAGGAAGCUGCCUGACAGAACUACGUGGACUUGGUGUCCAGUCUGCUUCCUCUGAGCCCCCCAGCUCAGAGGCACCUGCAGCAGACAGGAAGCAACCAGAAAGCGACAGCCUGGUGGUGACCUCCGAAGACGGCAUCACCACCAUCCGGUUGAACCGUCCAACCAAAAGAAAUGCUCUCACCACACAGAUGUAUCAUGACAUCAUAGCUGCACUUCAGGCUGCAAGCAAGGAUGAGUCAGCCAUAACUGUUUUAACAGGCAGUGGGGACUACUACUGCAGCGGGAACGACCUGACCAACUUCACGAAUCUGCCCGCCGGUGGGCUGGAGAUGGCCAGGAGCAGAGAGGUCCUCCUGAGGGAUUUUGUCAACUGUUUCAUAAAUUUCCCGAAGCCUCUGGUGGCCGUGGUCAAUGGGCCAGUUGUGGGGAUCUCCAUCACCAUCAUUGGGCUGUCUGACGUCAUGUAUGCGACCGACCGGGCAACCUUUCACACCCCGUUCAGUCACCUGGGCCAGAGUCCAGAAGGCUGUUCCUCUUACACUUUUCCCAAGAUAAUGGGCUCAAGCAAGGCGGCAGAGAUGCUCCUUUUUGGGAAGAAGUUAACGGCCCAGGAAGCGUGUGCCCAAGGACUCCUUACUGAAGUUUUUCCUGACAGCACUUUUCAGAAAGAAGUUUAGGACAGGCUGAAGGCAUAUUCAAAGCUCCCCCCAAAUGCCAUGAGAAUUUCCAAGCAGAUCAUCAGAAACGGGGAGAAAGAAAAGUUGCAAGUGGUCAACGCGGAAGAAAGCAGUGUCCUGAGGGCGAGGUGGCUGUCAGACGAGUGCAUGAAUGCCAUCGUGAGCUUCCUGUCCAGAAAGGCGAAGCUCUGAUGACCAGCACGGCCCAGCCGGGUGCCUCCAGGGAAGCGUUGUACCGCUGCUCCCGGUUGUCAGUCCCCGAGCCGAAUAAACCUCGCUGUGCCUUCUUUCAGUGCUUAAAUACCAGUCGCUAUGAUUGUAUUGUGCUGGAGCCUUGAUGGAAAACAAAUGAUGUCAAACGCGCUUGGGGAACUUCCGUUGACUCUUGGCCGGGGGUAGUCUCAGCUCUCUCAACAUGAACCGCUGUUGCCAGGUGCACUGGAACAUGCUGCCCGGCGCCCUGCUCUGGAACGCGUUCAUCGCGUUGCGGGCUGAGACCACAUGUUUGAAAACCACCGCGGCGCUCUGCCGCCCUGCACAGGGUCACCGACUGGAUCGCCCGAACACUGACAACCUCUGCGAGACCGAGGCAAGGUGGGUCGUAUGUUCUUUCUCAGCCACCUGGAAGGGGGAGUGAGCAGAAAGGAGUAGGACUAUCAGAGGGUCAAUUAGAAUCCUAGUUUCAUUCCACCCCUAUCAUCUGCCAAAAAGACGUGGAGAAUUAGACCGUUUCCCAGGAACGUGAUAUUCCAUAUCAGUGGUUAUUUCCUCAUGUAUUGUCUCAUCUUCAUUCUCAUUUAAGAUGGUCCUUUAUAAAAAACACAUCUG
Molecule: RNA transcript, 1814 nt
Organism: Cervus elaphus (red deer)
Lineage: Eukaryota; Metazoa; Chordata; Mammalia; Artiodactyla; Cervidae
Gene name: enoyl-CoA delta isomerase 2-like
Exons: 2
Source: RefSeq, a predicted model, not a curated record